UACGUAGGGUGCGAGCGUUAAUCGGAAUUACUGGGCGUAAAGCGUGCGCAGGCGGUUUGCUAAGACCGAUGUGAAAUCCCCGGGCUUAACCUGGGAACUGCAUUGGUGACUGGCAGGCUAGAGUAUGGCAGAGGGGGGUAGAAUUCCACGUGUAGCAGUGAAAUGCGUAGAGAUGUGGAGGAAUACCGAUGGCGAAGGCAGCCUCCUGGGCCAAUACUGACGCUCAUGCACGAAAGCGUGGGGAGCAAACAGG
RNAcentral lists this ribosomal RNA (253 nucleotides) under uncultured bacterium. RNAcentral's name for it is "partial 16S ribosomal RNA". It matches the Rfam family "Bacterial small subunit ribosomal RNA", at positions 524 to 776 of the family's 1533-position model. The record is from RNAcentral.